Molecule: small RNA, 876 nt
Filed under: Pan troglodytes (chimpanzee)
Lineage: Eukaryota; Metazoa; Chordata; Mammalia; Primates; Hominidae
Description: processed transcript
Source: RNAcentral
GAGGGGUCGGUGGCUGCUGGGCUGGCGGGGCGCAGGCCGCGGGACCCGAGCCCGGGGGAGCGAGAGAGCGGAGGCGCCGAGGAUCCGAUUCAUUCGCUGGGGAGACCUAUGGGCCGAAGCCGUGUAGAUGCGUUUUAAGGCGAGUGCGGAAAGUGGCCUGGGGAGCCUCGGGGAGCGGACGCCCUCCGCCCUGGUGCUGACCUGCCCCCCUGCCCCUUCUGCCUCCUGUCAGCAGGGGCCUCGGCUCCGCAACUGCCACUCCUCCUCGGGGUGUUGCACAAGUUUCGAGGUCACCGGCGACCCCCCCUAGCAGCGCUCCUGGCUCUGGCCCCCGCGAAGGAGGACGGAGUUUGUGUGUUGCAUACUUUCUAAGGCGGCGGCUGCAGCAGCGGCUCCAUCCAGCCCGUCAGCUCCUCCUGCAAGGCAUGGCUGGCUACCUGAGUGAAUCGGACUUUGUGAUGGUGGAGGAGGGCUUCAGUACCCGAGACCUGCUGAAGGAACUCACUCUGGGGGCCUCACAGGCCACCACGGACGAGGUAGCUGCCUUCUUCGUGGCUGACCUGGGUGCCAUAGUGAGGAAGCACUUUUGCUUUCUGAAGUGCCUGCCACGAGUCCAGCCCUUUUACACUGUCAAGUGCAACAGCAGCCCAGGUGUGCUAAAGGUUCUGGCCCAGCUGGGGCUGGGCUUUAGCUGUGCCAACAAGGCAGAGAUGGAGUUGGUCCAGCAUAUUGGAAUCCCUGCCAGUAAGAUCAUCUGCGCCAACCCCUGUAAGCAAAUUGCACAGAUCAAAUAUGCUGCCAAGCAUGGGAUCCAGCUGCUGAGCUUUGACAAUGAGAUGGAGCUGGCAAAGGUGGUAAAGAGCCACCCCAGUGCCA